Non-coding RNA from Dermacentor andersoni, 314 nucleotides. Lineage: Eukaryota; Metazoa; Arthropoda; Arachnida; Ixodida; Ixodidae. The record is from RefSeq and is a predicted model, not a curated record.
AGCACGGCCAACUAAGACGCAGACGAAAAAGAAGAAGGAAGCAGUACCGAAAGAGGUUUCGCACGCAGCCUAUGUAGCAGGGGCGGGAUGGGAUGUCAGCUGCAGCGAUGGUACGGGCAAACCGUACAAGGACGGAUUGGGCUGUGUUCGCGGAUACCAUGGUCUCUCAACCAGCAAGCAUGAUGUGAAGGGCCAUCGUUGCACAGUUGGAGUAUGCCGGAGCGGAAGAUGCGUAACUGAAGCUGACGCAUUCUGUUCUGUAUCCUAAAAUACCUUGCCGUACGGCUGAUAAUAAAAUAUUUCUUCAAAACCUA